UAAGUUUCACCCUUUUCCACUUUAUCUGUCUCAAGAUUCAAGAAAUUAGUGAUCGGUACCCGAGACCCAAAAUUCGAAUUCUAGUUGAUUCAUAUUUUUAGCUAAGUUUAUUUUUAAAUAAAAUAAACGAAGCGAAUAGCGUGUUAUCUAUCUCUCAAAAAAAAAAAAGAUUCAAGAAAUUAAAGGAAUUUUUUCUUAGGUCAAUUAUGUUAAGAUUAAUUUUGUAUUAUUUUUUUUGUUAGAUAAAAUUUUGUAUG
RNAcentral lists this long non-coding RNA (257 nucleotides) under Ananas comosus (pineapple). RNAcentral's name for it is "long non-coding RNA (ACOM_LNC029939)". The record is from RNAcentral. Lineage: Eukaryota; Viridiplantae; Streptophyta; Magnoliopsida; Poales; Bromeliaceae.